Long non-coding RNA from Homo sapiens (human), 553 nucleotides. RefSeq lists it as uncharacterized. The record is from RefSeq and is a predicted model, not a curated record. NCBI's taxonomy places the organism in Eukaryota, Metazoa, Chordata, Mammalia, Primates, Hominidae. The transcript has 2 exons.
ACAUCAGUAGGAGGGGAAGGAGGAAGGAAGGAGAAGAAAGAGGAAGAAUAGGAGGAGAAGAGGAAGAGAGGAAGAAGUCGUGAACAGCCCUCCUGCAUUUUGCAUCAGGUAGAAAAGUCAGUUGAAUGUUGGGAAGAACACAAAUAAAAAUGCAAGAGAACAGCUAUCUUCACAGAUCCCGGAACAAAGGACAAAGGAUAGAACUAAAAGCUCCCCCCACCCGCCGCCCGGCACCAAAGGAGUCAUAUCUGAUUACUUCCUUUGGAAAGGCUAAUCAGAAACUGAAAAGAAUGUAACUGUUUGUGUCUCACCUAUCUGUGACCUGGAAGCUCCCUCCCAGCUUUGAGUCUUCCUGCCUUUGCUUCCAGUUGUUCUGCCUUUCCAGACCCAACCAAUGUACUUCUUAUAUCUAUUGAUUGAUGUCUCAUGUCUCCCUAAAUGUAAAAAUCAAGCUGUGCCCCAACUGCCUUGGGCACAUGCUAUCAGGACCUCCUGAGGCUGUCAUGGAUGCGUCCUCAACCUUGGCAAAAUAAACUUUCUAAAUUAACUGAGA